Molecule: ribosomal RNA, 1272 nt
Filed under: Triticum aestivum (bread wheat)
Lineage: Eukaryota; Viridiplantae; Streptophyta; Magnoliopsida; Poales; Poaceae
Description: partial small subunit ribosomal RNA
Source: RNAcentral
AUGAGAGAGCCCGAUGAUGACCCUCGCAGCUUCUCGCAGCAGUGGCACGUGCACUGCGCAUACUGCGAGGGCGCAUAUGAACAGAUCGGCUACCCGAAACUGAAGAUCGACAUACACAGGUCCUGGCUCUUCUUCCCAUGGCACAGGUUGUACCUCUAUUUCUACGAGAGGAUCCUUGGUAAUCUCAUCGACGACGACACCUUUGCACUGCCGUUUUGGAACUGGGACGCGCCCCACGGCAUGACCCUCCCGGUGAUGUACACCAGUGAGUCUUCGCCACUCUAUGACUCUAAGCGUAACCCCGUGCACCUGCCACCGGCCAUUGUCAACCUCGACUACAACCACAAAGACUACCACUCCGGGACCGACCACAAGAUCACAACAGAAGACCCGAUCAAUCUGAACCUCAAGCUCAUGUACCGUCAGAUGAUUGCUGGGGCCAAGAAGACUGAGCUAUUCCUGGGGACGUCAUACCGCGCUGGCGAAGAACCGCGAGGCCCAGGUACCAUCGAGUGCGAGCCACACAACACAGUCCACGACUGGACCGGUGAGUCGAAGGAGCCCAGCGAAGACAUGGGCAACUUGUACUCCGCGGCACGCGACCCGGUCUUCUUCGCGCACCACGGCAACGUCGACCGCAUGUGGAAUGUCUGGCGCUGCCUUGGCCACACCGACUUCACCGACACCGACUGGCUUGACAGUAACUUUCUGUUUUACGACGAGGAGGCCCGCCUUGUCCGUGUCCACGUCCGUGACUGCCUCGACACGCUGGCCUUGCGCUACACUUACCAGGACGUCCCUCUGCCAUGGUUGACCGCCAAACCAACCGAGGCAGGAGAUACCAACACUCCGGUUACCCCGACCACAGGGGUUCUCCCGGCUGUCUUGGACGGGAUUGUGCGGGUGGACGUGCCUAGGACCAAGGUCUCCAGGAGCCGCUUCCAGAAGGACGAGGAGGAGGAGGUGCUGAUCGUUGAGGGGAUCGAGAUCGCAGACAGCUCAAAGUACGUCAAGUUCGAUGUGCAUGUGAACGCGCCACAACACGAACAACUCAACGCGGCUCACGCACAGUUUGCUGGGAGCGUGGUGCUCCUGCCGCACAUGUCCGGGCAACACGAGGGCAAGACCAAGAUGUCUGCCAGGUUCGGCAUCUCUGACUUACUGGACUCCAUCCGAGCGGACGGCGACAAGAAAAUCAUCGUCUCGCUUGUGCCGAGAAGCGCGGGUGAGGUGGUCACUGUGGGAGCCGUCCGCAUCGGCUACAUCAAAUGA